UACGUAGGGGGCGAGCGUUGUCCGGAAUCAUUGGGCGUAAAGCGCGUGUAGGCGGCCCGGUAAGUCCGCUGUGAAAGUCCAGGGCUCAACCCUGGGAUGCCGGUGGAUACUGUCGGGCUCGAGUCCGGAAGAGGCGAGUGGAAUUCCUGGUGUAGCGGUGAAAUGCGCAGAUAUCAGGAGGAACACCGAUGGCGAAGGCAGCUCGCUGGGACGGUACUGACGCUGAGGCGCGAAAGCGUGGGGAGCAAACAGG
This 253-nucleotide ribosomal RNA is filed under the name uncultured bacterium. RNAcentral describes it as "partial 16S ribosomal RNA". It matches the Rfam family "Bacterial small subunit ribosomal RNA", at positions 524 to 776 of the family's 1533-position model. The record is from RNAcentral.